GGUUAAGCGACUAAGCGUACACGGUGGAUGCCCUGGCAGUCAGAGGCGAUGAAGGACGUGCUAAUCUGCGAUAAGCGUCGGUAAGGUGAUAUGAACCGUUAUAACCGGCGAUUUCCGAAUGGGGAAACCCAGUGUGUUUCGACACACUAUCAUUAACUGAAUCCAUAGGUUAAUGAGGCGAACCGGGGGAACUGAAACAUCUAAGUACCCCGAGGAAAAGAAAUCAACCGAGAUUCCCCCAGUAGCGGCGAGCGAACGGGGAGCAGCCCAGAGCCUGAAUCAGUGUGUGUGUUAGUGGAAGCGUCUGGAAAGGCGCGCGAUACAGGGUGACAGCCCCGUACACAAAAAUGCACAUGCUGUGAGCUCGAUGAGUAGGGCGGGACACGUGGUAUCCUGUCUGAAUAUGGGGGGACCAUCCUCCAAGGCUAAAUACUCCUGACUGACCGAUAGUGAACCAGUACCGUGAGGGAAAGGCGAAAAGAACCCCGGCGAGGGGAGUGAAAAAGAACCUGAAACCGUGUACGUACAAGCAGUGGGAGCACGCUUAGGCGUGUGACUGCGUACCUUUUGUAUAAUGGGUCAGCGACUUAUAUUCUGUAGCAAGGUUAACCGAAUAGGGGAGCCGAAGGGAAACCGAGUCUUAACUGGGCGUUAAGUUGCAGGGUAUAGACCCGAAACCCGGUGAUCUAGCCAUGGGCAGGUUGAAGGUUGGGUAACACUAACUGGAGGACCGAACCGACUAAUGUUGAAAAAUUAGCGGAUGACUUGUGGCUGGGGGUGAAAGGCCAAUCAAACCGGGAGAUAGCUGGUUCUCCCCGAAAGCUAUUUAGGUAGCGCCUCGUGAAUUCAUCUCCGGGGGUAGAGCACUGUUUCGGCAAGGGGGUCAUCCCGACUUACCAACCCGAUGCAAACUGCGAAUACCGGAGAAUGUUAUCACGGGAGACACACGGCGGGUGCUAACGUCCGUCGUGAAGAGGGAAACAACCCAGACCGCCAGCUAAGGUCCCAAAGUCAUGGUUAAGUGGGAAACGAUGUGGGAAGGCCCAGACAGCCAGGAUGUUGGCUUAGAAGCAGCCAUCAUUUAAAGAAAGCGUAAUAGCUCACUGGUCGAGUCGGCCUGCGCGGAAGAUGUAACGGGGCUAAACCAUGCACCGAAGCUGCGGCAGCGACGCUUAUGCGUUGUUGGGUAGGGGAGCGUUCUGUAAGCCUGUGAAGGUGUGCUGUGAGGCAUGCUGGAGGUAUCAGAAGUGCGAAUGCUGACAUAAGUAACGAUAAAGCGGGUGAAAAGCCCGCUCGCCGGAAGACCAAGGGUUCCUGUCCAACGUUAAUCGGGGCAGGGUGAGUCGACCCCUAAGGCGAGGCCGAAAGGCGUAGUCGAUGGGAAACAGGUUAAUAUUCCUGUACUUGGUGUUACUGCGAAGGGGGGACGGAGAAGGCUAUGUUGGCCGGGCGACGGUUGUCCCGGUUUAAGCGUGUAGGCUGGUUUUCCAGGCAAAUCCGGAAAAUCAAGGCUGAGGCGUGAUGACGAGGCACUACGGUGCUGAAGCAACAAAUGCCCUGCUUCCAGGAAAAGCCUCUAAGCAUCAGGUAACAUCAAAUCGUACCCCAAACCGACACAGGUGGUCAGGUAGAGAAUACCAAGGCGCUUGAGAGAACUCGGGUGAAGGAACUAGGCAAAAUGGUGCCGUAACUUCGGGAGAAGGCACGCUGAUAUGUAGGUGAAGUCCCUCGCGGAUGGAGCUGAAAUCAGUCGAAGAUACCAGCUGGCUGCAACUGUUUAUUAAAAACACAGCACUGUGCAAACACGAAAGUGGACGUAUACGGUGUGACGCCUGCCCGGUGCCGGAAGGUUAAUUGAUGGGGUCAGCGCAAGCGAAGCUCUUGAUCGAAGCCCCGGUAAACGGCGGCCGUAACUAUAACGGUCCUAAGGUAGCGAAAUUCCUUGUCGGGUAAGUUCCGACCUGCACGAAUGGCGUAAUGAUGGCCAGGCUGUCUCCACCCGAGACUCAGUGAAAUUGAACUCGCUGUGAAGAUGCAGUGUACCCGCGGCAAGACGGAAAGACCCCGUGAACCUUUACUAUAGCUUGACACUGAACAUUGAGCCUUGAUGUGUAGGAUAGGUGGGAGGCUUAGAAGUGUGGACGCCAGUCUGCAUGGAGCCGACCUUGAAAUACCACCCUUUAAUGUUUGAUGUUCUAACGUUGACCCGUAAUCCGGGUUGCGGACAGUGUCUGGUGGGUAGUUUGACUGGGGCGGUCUCCUCCUAAAGAGUAACGGAGGAGCACGAAGGUUGGCUAAUCCUGGUCGGACAUCAGGAGGUUAGUGCAAUGGCAUAAGCCAGCUUGACUGCGAGCGUGACGGCGCGAGCAGGUGCGAAAGCAGGUCAUAGUGAUCCGGUGGUUCUGAAUGGAAGGGCCAUCGCUCAACGGAUAAAAGGUACUCCGGGGAUAACAGGCUGAUACCGCCCAAGAGUUCAUAUCGACGGCGGUGUUUGGCACCUCGAUGUCGGCUCAUCACAUCCUGGGGCUGAAGUAGGUCCCAAGGGUAUGGCUGUUCGCCAUUUAAAGUGGUACGCGAGCUGGGUUUAGAACGUCGUGAGACAGUUCGGUCCCUAUCUGCCGUGGGCGCUGGAGAAUUGAGGGGGGCUGCUCCUAGUACGAGAGGACCGGAGUGGACGCAUCACUGGUGUUCGGGUUGUCAUGCCAAUGGCACUGCCCGGUAGCUAAAUGCGGAAGAGAUAAGUGCUGAAAGCAUCUAAGCACGAAACUUGCCCCGAGAUGAGUUCUCCCUGACUCCUUGAGAGUCCUGAAGGAACGUUGAAGACGACGACGUUGAUAGGCCGGGUGUGUAAGCGCAGCGAUGCGUUGAGCUAACCGGUACUAAUGAACCGUGAGGCUUAACCUU
This 2904-nucleotide ribosomal RNA is filed under the name Escherichia coli. RNAcentral describes it as "23S ribosomal RNA". It matches the Rfam family "Bacterial large subunit ribosomal RNA". Lineage: Bacteria; Pseudomonadati; Pseudomonadota; Gammaproteobacteria; Enterobacterales; Enterobacteriaceae. The record is from RNAcentral. RNAcentral also lists the same sequence under 1 other name.